This 250-nucleotide ribosomal RNA is filed under the name uncultured prokaryote. RNAcentral's name for it is "partial 16S ribosomal RNA". It matches the Rfam family "Bacterial small subunit ribosomal RNA", at positions 524 to 773 of the family's 1533-position model. The record is from RNAcentral.
UACGGGGGGUGCAAGCGUUGUCCGGAAUCAUUGGGCGUAAAGAGUUCGUAGGCGGUAUGUAAAGUCCGGUGUUAAAGGCGCAGGCUUAACUUGUGUAUGGCACUGGAUACUUGCAGACUAGAAUGCGGUAGAGGUAAAGGGAAUUUCUGGUGUAGCGGUGAAAUGCUUAGAUAUCAGGAAGAACAUCGGUGGCGUAAGCGCUUUACUGGGCCGUAAUUGACGCUGAGGAACGAAAGCCGGGGUAGCAAAU